UCCGGUUUGAACUCAGAUCAUGUGCGGGGGUAGAGGUCGAACAGACCUUGUGAAAAUAGCUUCUGCACUAUUUGUAGCCGCAAUUCAACAUCGAGGUCGCAAACAAUUAUUUUAAUAAGGGCUUAAAUAAUUAUAACGCUGUUAUCCCUAGAGUACCUUAUUCGUCUAAUUUAAUAAAGAUCAUUGUUAAUAUAAAUAGUCCUAUUUAAAUUUACCCCAAAUAAACUUG
Molecule: ribosomal RNA, 229 nt
Filed under: Acartia tonsa
Lineage: Eukaryota; Metazoa; Arthropoda; Copepoda; Calanoida; Acartiidae
Description: partial large subunit ribosomal RNA
Source: RNAcentral